GACGAACGCUGGCGGCGUGCCUAAUACAUGCAAGUCGAGCGGACAGACGGGAGCUUGCUCCCUGAUGUUAGCGGCGGACGGGUGAGUAACACGUGGGUAACCUGCCUGUAAGACUGGGAUAACUCCGGGAAACCGGGGCUAAUACCGGAUGGUUGUCUGAACCGCAUGGUUCAGACAUAAAAGGUGGCUUCGGCUACCACUUACAGAUGGACCCGCGGCGCAUUAGCUAGUUGGUGAGGUAACGGCUCACCAAGGCAACGAUGCGUAGCCGACCUGAGAGGGUGAUCGGCCACACUGGGACUGAGACACGGCCCAGACUCCUACGGGAGGCAGCAGUAGGGAAUCUUCCGCAAUGGACGAAAGUCUGACGGAGCAACGCCGCGUGAGUGAUGAAGGUUUUCGGAUCGGAAAGCUCUGUUGUUAGGGAAGAACAAGUGCCGUUCAAAUAGGGCGGCACCUUGACGGUACCUAACCAGAAAGCCACGGCUAACUACGUG
RNAcentral lists this ribosomal RNA (497 nucleotides) under uncultured bacterium. RNAcentral's name for it is "partial 16S ribosomal RNA". It matches the Rfam family "Bacterial small subunit ribosomal RNA", at positions 28 to 507 of the family's 1533-position model. The record is from RNAcentral.